AUUGAACGCUGGCGGCAUGCUUUACACAUGCAAGUCGAACGGUAACAGGCCUUCGGGUGCUGACGAGUGGCGCACGGGUGAGUAAAGCAUCGGAACGUGCCCAGAGGUGGGGGAUAACGCAGCGAAAGCUGUGCUAAUACCGCAUGUGAUCUGAGGAUGAAAGCGGGGGACCAAGCAGCAAUGUUUGGCCUCGCGCCUCUGGAGCGGCCGAUGUCAGAUUAGGUAGUUGGUGGGGUAAAGGCCUACCAAGCCGACGAUCUGUAGCUGGUCUGAGAGGACGACCAGCCACACUGGGACUGAGACACGGCCCAGACUCCUACGGGAGGCAGCAGUGGGGAAUUUUGGACAAUGGGCGCAAGCCUGAUCCAGCAAUGCCGCGUGAGGGAAGAAGGCCUUCGGGUUGUAAACCGCUUUUGUACGGAACGAAAAGGCUCUGGCUAAUACCUGGGGCUGAUGACGGUACCGUAAGAAUAAGCACCGGCUAACUACGUG
RNAcentral lists this ribosomal RNA (492 nucleotides) under uncultured bacterium. RNAcentral describes it as "partial 16S ribosomal RNA". It matches the Rfam family "Bacterial small subunit ribosomal RNA", at positions 30 to 507 of the family's 1533-position model. The record is from RNAcentral.